Molecule: ribosomal RNA, 253 nt
Filed under: uncultured bacterium
Lineage: Bacteria
Description: partial 16S ribosomal RNA
Rfam family: Bacterial small subunit ribosomal RNA
Source: RNAcentral
GACGUAGGGAGCAAGCGUUGUCCGGAAUUACUGGGCGUAAAGAGCUCGUAGGCGGGAGCGUACGUCUGAGAGGAAAUCUCAAGGCUCAACUUUGGGGCUUUCUCAGAUACGGCGCUUCUUGAGUGUAAGAGAGGAAAGCAGAAUUCCCGGUGUAGCGGUGAAAUGCGUAGAUAUCGGGAGGAAUACCAGUGGCGAAGGCGGGUCUCUGGACAGUUCCUGACGCUGAGGCACGAAGGUCAGGGGAGCAAACGGG